Molecule: ribosomal RNA, 479 nt
Filed under: uncultured bacterium
Lineage: Bacteria
Description: partial 16S ribosomal RNA
Rfam family: Bacterial small subunit ribosomal RNA
Source: RNAcentral
GAUGAACGCUGGCGGCGUGCUUAACACAUGCAAGUCGAACGAAGCACUUUAACCUGAUUCUUCGGAUGAAGGUUUUUGUGACUGAGUGGCGGACGGGUGAGUAACGCGUGGGUAACCUGCCUCAUACAGGGGGAUAACAGUUAGAAAUGACUGCUAAUACCGCAUAAGACCACAGAGCCGCAUGGCUCGGUGGGAAAAACUCCGGUGGUAUGAGAUGGACCCGCGUCUGAUUAGGUAGUUGGUGGGGUAACGGCCUACCAAGCCAACGAUCAGUAGCCGACCUGGGAGGGUGACCGGCCACAUUGGGACUGAGACACGGCCCAAACUCCUACGGGAGGCAGCAGUGGGGAAUAUUGCACAAUGGGGGAAACCCUGAUGCAGCGACGCCGCGUGAGCGAAGAAGUAUUUCGGUAUGUAAAGCUCUAUCAGCAGGGAAGAAAAUGACGGUACCUGACUAAGAAGCACCGGCUAAAUACGUG